This 497-nucleotide ribosomal RNA is filed under the name uncultured bacterium. RNAcentral's name for it is "partial 16S ribosomal RNA". It matches the Rfam family "Bacterial small subunit ribosomal RNA", at positions 28 to 507 of the family's 1533-position model. The record is from RNAcentral.
GAUGAACGCUGGCGGCGUGCCUAAUACAUGCAAGUCGAGCGAACAGACGAGGAGCUUGCUCCUCUGACGUUAGCGGCGGACGGGUGAGUAACACGUGGAUAACCUACCUAUAAGACUGGGAUAACUUCGGGAAACCGGAGCUAAUACCGGAUAAUAUAUUGAACCGCAUGGUUCAAUAGUGAAAGACGGUUUUGCUGUCACUUAUAGAUGGAUCCGCGCCGCAUUAGCUAGUUGGUAAGGUAACGGCUUACCAAGGCAACGAUGCGUAGCCGACCUGAGAGGGUGAUCGGCCACACUGGAACUGAGACACGGUCCAGACUCCUACGGGAGGCAGCAGUAGGGAAUCUUCCGCAAUGGGCGAAAGCUUGACGGAGCAACGCCGCGUGAGUCAUGAAGGUCUUCGGAUCGUAAAACUCUGUUAUUAGGGAAGAACAAAUGUGUAAGUAACUAUGCACGUCUUGACGGUACCUAAUCAGAAAGCCACGGCUAACUACGUG